This 253-nucleotide ribosomal RNA is filed under the name uncultured bacterium. RNAcentral describes it as "partial 16S ribosomal RNA". It matches the Rfam family "Bacterial small subunit ribosomal RNA", at positions 524 to 776 of the family's 1533-position model. The record is from RNAcentral.
UACGUAGGGUGCGAGCGUUGUCCGGAAUUAUUGGGCGUAAAGAGCUCGUAGGCGGUCUGUCGCGUCGGAUGUGAAAACCCAGGGCUCAACCCUGGGCCUGCAUUCGAUACGGGCAGACUAGAGUUCGGUAGGGGAGACUGGAAUUCCUGGUGUAGCGGUGAAAUGCGCAGAUAUCAGGAGGAACACCGGUGGCGAAGGCGGGUCUCUGGGCCGAUACUGACGCUGAGGAGCGAAAGCGUGGGGAGCAAACAGG